Molecule: unclassified non-coding RNA, 27 nt
Filed under: Mus musculus (house mouse)
Lineage: Eukaryota; Metazoa; Chordata; Mammalia; Rodentia; Muridae
Description: oocyte_clustered_small_RNA13277
Source: RNAcentral
UGGCAACAGCAGCCUAUGCAGUGAGCA